GGCGGCGUGGUGGAAUGGUAGACACCGGCGACUUAAAAUCGCCUUCCCUCUGGAGUGCGGGUUCGAGUCCCGCCGCCGCCA
This 81-nucleotide transfer RNA is filed under the name Rhodobacter xanthinilyticus. RNAcentral's name for it is "Rhodobacter sp. LPB0142 tRNA". It matches the Rfam family "tRNA". From Rfam's summary of the family: Transfer RNA (tRNA) molecules are approximately 80 nucleotides in length. Their secondary structure includes four short double-helical elements and three loops (D, anti-codon, and T loops). Further hydrogen bonds mediate the characteristic L-shaped molecular structure. tRNAs have two regions of fundamental functional importance: the anti-codon, which is responsible for specific mRNA codon recognition, and the 3' end, to which the tRNAs corresponding amino acid is attached (by aminoacyl-tRNA synthetases). tRNAs cope with the degeneracy of the genetic code in two manners: having more than one tRNA (with a specific anti-codon) for a particular amino acid; and 'wobble' base-pairing, i.e. permitting non-standard base-pairing at the 3rd anti-codon position. Lineage: Bacteria; Pseudomonadati; Pseudomonadota; Alphaproteobacteria; Rhodobacterales. The record is from Rfam by way of RNAcentral.